UGUGCAAGAGCUGCUAAGGACGAAGAAAUUUCGGGAAGUUCCUUAUCUCAGAAAAAAUGUGCGUUCUUCUUAGAAUCGAUGGAGAGUGAAGGAGGGGGUGGAAACGUCAGGUUACAAUGGUUUGGUGUAAGAACAGGAGUCCCAGGAAGUUGCUUGCUUUCAGGAAUUCAUCUCGAAGCUCCUCUUUGGUCUGGAGAAUUCAGAGAGAGUCUGUCCUACUCACAGUCGUCACUAACUGGAAGAAGCGUUGAUCUGAAUUUCAUCAGAGUCUGCAUACUGAAAGCCCUAGGACCAGAAGCUGCUAAGCAGAAGUGAGCCUUAUUCCUUGGUUCACCUGCUACUGCUUCCUUAUCAUACUGCUGCUUCCCUUUGUCUGCAAAAGGGAAAGGAUAGAGGAGUGAAACAUGCACUUAAAAAUUAUUUGUAAUAAUUUGAAGGUUCUUUGAAAAUAAUAUAGGUGAAUAUAGGAGUUAAAAUUGGUGUACAGGGGCGCCUGGGUGGCUUAGUGGGUUAAAGCCUCUGCCUUCAGCUCAGGUCA
Long non-coding RNA from Lontra canadensis (Northern American river otter), 538 nucleotides. RefSeq lists it as uncharacterized. The transcript has 3 exons. The record is from RefSeq and is a predicted model, not a curated record. NCBI's taxonomy places the organism in Eukaryota, Metazoa, Chordata, Mammalia, Carnivora, Mustelidae.